UCCCUGGCUGUCCAGUGGUUAGGACUCAGCGUUUUCACUGCCAGAGCCCAGGUUCAAUCCCUGGUUGGGGAA
Molecule: transfer RNA, 72 nt
Filed under: Ovis aries (sheep)
Lineage: Eukaryota; Metazoa; Chordata; Mammalia; Artiodactyla; Bovidae
Rfam family: tRNA
About the family: Transfer RNA (tRNA) molecules are approximately 80 nucleotides in length. Their secondary structure includes four short double-helical elements and three loops (D, anti-codon, and T loops). Further hydrogen bonds mediate the characteristic L-shaped molecular structure. tRNAs have two regions of fundamental functional importance: the anti-codon, which is responsible for specific mRNA codon recognition, and the 3' end, to which the tRNAs corresponding amino acid is attached (by aminoacyl-tRNA synthetases). tRNAs cope with the degeneracy of the genetic code in two manners: having more than one tRNA (with a specific anti-codon) for a particular amino acid; and 'wobble' base-pairing, i.e. permitting non-standard base-pairing at the 3rd anti-codon position.
Source: Rfam by way of RNAcentral